RNAcentral lists this ribosomal RNA (253 nucleotides) under uncultured bacterium. Its description in RNAcentral is "partial 16S ribosomal RNA". It matches the Rfam family "Bacterial small subunit ribosomal RNA", at positions 524 to 776 of the family's 1533-position model. The record is from RNAcentral.
UACGGAGGGUGCAAGCGUUAUCCGGAUUUAUUGGGUUUAAAGGGUCCGUAGGCGGACUGGUAAGUCAGUGGUGAAAUCCUGUCGCUCAACGAUAGAACUGCCAUUGAAACUGCUAGUCUUGAAUUAAUUUGAAGUUGGCGGAAUGAGUAGUGUAGCGGUGAAAUGCAUAGAUAUUACUCAGAACACCGAUUGCGAAGGCAGCUGACUAAGAUUAUAUUGACGCUGAUGGACGAAAGCGUAGGUAGCGAACAGG